UCAGAAAAACCUGUUAAGGCAUCUCAGAUUUCCAAAACCUGGAUUUUAUUUAAACUAUUUUC
Molecule: transfer RNA, 62 nt
Filed under: Notochthamalus scabrosus
Lineage: Eukaryota; Metazoa; Arthropoda; Thecostraca; Balanomorpha; Chthamalidae
Description: tRNA-Pro
Source: RNAcentral